Molecule: microRNA precursor, 112 nt
Filed under: Hofstenia miamia
Lineage: Eukaryota; Metazoa; Xenacoelomorpha; Acoela; Hofsteniidae
Description: microRNA mir-233
Source: RNAcentral
UUCAAAUUUGAUUCGCUGACAUUCAUUCCUUUGUUCUAAUUACUCAAUUUUACUGGUUCAGGUGAAUUGAGUAAUUAGAACAAAGGAAUGAAUGUCAGCCAAUCAAAUUUGA